UACAUGGGGUGCAAACGUUGCUCGGAAUUAUUGGGCGUAAAGCGCGCGUAGGCGGUUACUCAAGUCGGAUGUGAAAGCCCUCGGCUUAACUGAGGAAGUGCACCCGAAACUGAGUAGCUAGAGUACCAAAGAGGGUCGCGGAAUUCCCGGUGUAGAGGUGAAAUUCGUAGAUAUCAAGCGGAACACCGGUGGCGAAGGCGGCCUUCUGGACAGUGACUGACGCUGAGACGCGAAAGCGUGGGGAGCAAACAGG
Molecule: ribosomal RNA, 253 nt
Filed under: uncultured bacterium
Lineage: Bacteria
Description: partial 16S ribosomal RNA
Rfam family: Bacterial small subunit ribosomal RNA
Source: RNAcentral